This 25-nucleotide non-coding RNA is filed under the name Cricetulus griseus (Chinese hamster). The record is from RNAcentral. Lineage: Eukaryota; Metazoa; Chordata; Mammalia; Rodentia; Cricetidae.
GAUGGCUCAGAGGUUAAGAGCACUG